AUGCCGCGUGCCACCCCGCCGCACCUCGUCGGCGCCUCGGUGCCCACUGCCAUUGCCGGACCUCCCGCGCCUCUCCCUCGUGGGAUCGACCGUGCCGCUCGACCCCCCUGCGAACCAUCGCCGGACGCCAUCGCCGCGGUCCUCUCCAUCACCGGCGCUCCCCGUCCCCGUCGCCGAUGCCACCUCGCCGGACUGCUUCCCCUGCGUCGCCGUCAUCCCCGACCUCCUCCCCGCGCCCCACUGCCAUAUCCCUACGGCCCCCCACGUUGGAGCCCAAGAUCCAGACGCCACCGUCGAUGA
This 300-nucleotide ribosomal RNA is filed under the name Triticum aestivum (bread wheat). Its description in RNAcentral is "partial small subunit ribosomal RNA". Lineage: Eukaryota; Viridiplantae; Streptophyta; Magnoliopsida; Poales; Poaceae. The record is from RNAcentral.